Long non-coding RNA from Oncorhynchus gorbuscha (pink salmon), 2192 nucleotides. RefSeq lists it as uncharacterized. The record is from RefSeq and is a predicted model, not a curated record. NCBI's taxonomy places the organism in Eukaryota, Metazoa, Chordata, Actinopteri, Salmoniformes, Salmonidae. The transcript has 4 exons.
GUUCAAAAUAUACAAAGGAAGUGAAAUGAUGCUGCGUUUAAAACAACUGGGAAGUCGAAAAAAAACACGAUGUUAAAUCAUGGCGUCAGUGAUCUUUAGUUCGGAAAGUCUGAGCUCUAGGGAGAGACCUGACUUCCCGAAAUGCAUGACCAUUCAAAUCGAUUUUUUCCCUCCGAGUUCCCAGGAAGUCGGAGAAUUCCGAGUUUCCAGUUGAUUUGAACGCGACAUGAGCAACCAGCAGGAAAAAUGACAAGACUUAGUGUUAUUAAACAUUGACGAAACACAAAUUAAAUAUAUAUCUAUUUACUAAACAGGGUAAGAUCUCUUUUAUAUAACGUUAGCCUAAUACAAUUUGGAAACCCAAGCUUUGUAGUAACGUUAACUAGCUACUAUGGCUAAUAAUGCUAACGUUAGCUAGCUGUUUUUCUGUUGUCAAGCUGACUUGCUACUGAAGCUAGCUUAGUUAAGUGCUUUUGCAAAAAUGUUACAUGCAAGUCUAAAAUGAAGGGGAGAAUGUCUUGCCUUAUUUUUUUUACAGUGGACAAAUUGCCUGAUUGAUCUGAUGAGAAGGAAGCCCGUUCUGCGUCCUCUUCACUCAAAUGAUGGGGAUCUGUGCCUGUUCCCGGGAGAGCAGUAUACCCUUCUCGUUGGACUCGUUAAAGGAGAAAGCUUCUUCCAGUUCGUGGUAAUUCACUAAGGAUACAGUUACAAGGCCCACCAGCCCCUGCCAACAGUGGUCUAAACAGUUGCCUUGUGAUCUGUGAUCUACAAGGCUGCCAAGUGCUGGACCGUCUGAUCCAAAUUUGGAAUCUUGGAUGGCCCCACCCCCAUUGAGAUCUAAGGAGAAUGAGAAAUGGAGCGACAUAAAGAUGUCUAUGAAGUCCAGGUUUGGUCACAGUGUUGUGGCUCCGCCCAGCAAGCCAAACUUCUAGCCCUUUGUGGAGGAGUCGGAUCAGCCUCCGAAAGUGUUCACUGAGAUCAUCUUAUUUUGCUGCCCUCAUUCAUUUCACUUUUCUCUCAUAACUGAAUGAAUUAAUGCCUGUGGCUUUUCCCAAAGCAAAUAUCUGUUUUUCUAUUUAAAGUAAUGUCUAUCUAGCAAUAAAUUAUUUUAAAACGGGAUGACUAAAACCCAGCAGUAACCCCAAGGUGUAUUUAUGUGACAUCGUUUGUGUCUACUCCAGUUGUGUUCUUAAGGUUUUAGUUAUUUGUUCUGGCACCUUCCUCCAGGACACUGUAAGAUCAACCCAGCGGUGAAUUCGGUGUUGUCUGCACGAAAGCCCUGCGGGGAUGAGACUCCUCUGAAGAGACUGCAGCAACAUCAGCAGCAGGAAGAGGGGAAAGCUCAGAAGCAGAGCAUGUAUUGCAAGGACCUGUUGCUCAGUGUCGCCUCUGAGUUCUGCUUUUAGGAACUGAGGGCAGAAAGCUACCACCAGAAGAAGGCCUUGGAGUCAGUGGGGCAGUGUCAGUGUCAAGGAAGAGCAAGGGGGCUCUGGUCUUCCAAACUGACACCUUUCCACCUGAACAUUGACAUGACAUUUCCAUGUUCAAAUUGUUUUGUGUUUAGGUAGCAGACUGUCAGUAUCAUCUGUUAUGUCUUUGUUGUCUUUCGUCAUGUAUGUAUUUUACUGUUUGUGAUGUGUAUAUAUAAACUGCAGUUGGAAUGGCAUAGGUCACACCAGUCAUAGCCAUAGAUCACUAUCUAGGCUCUGGGCCACACAGUAUCCCAGAGGGAAAAAUCAUCUAAUGUAAUUGGAGAAAAUGGUGCUAUGAUUUGAGAACUGAAAUACUGGUGGUUGUUGUUACUGCAUAUCCUUGGAUAUUCUGCAAUAAUUGGCUGUUGAGACUGUUCUGUAAUAUAUUUUCUUUCAUGGCAAUUCACUACAAAACUGUAUUCUACAUUUUACAUUCAUUCCACUAAUCUAUUAUGUUUGGAAAAGGGCUUUAGAUAACAUGCUAUGUUCCGUCUGGUUCCUCUCUCCAUUAUUUCUUUGCCUUCUUCACGUUACCUCUUAGGAAUUAAACUUUCAGUACCCCAUGUGGUGAAGGUAGUGUAUGAGAAUGACAGAGAGAAAUCCAGAGGAGGAGUCUAUGACAAGGCUCAAUUCACAUUAUAGAUGUCACUGCUGUAUAUAUUGGUAAAAAUGUCCCCCCAAGGCCAUGUGGUGAUAGUGUUAAAUAAAUGUGAAAUAAUG